ACUCAAAUGAAUUGACGGGGGCCCGCACAAGCGGCGGAGCAUGUUGCUUAAUUCGAUGCAACGCGAAGAACCUUACCUAGGCUUGACAUGCACGGAAAUCUCGCAGAGAUGCGGGGUCCGUAAGGGCCGUGCACAGGUGGUGCAUGGUUGUCGUCAGCUCGUGUCGUGAGAUGUUGGGUUAAGUCCCGCAACGAGCGCAACCCUCGUUCUAUGUUGCCAGCACGUCAUGGUGGGGACUCAUAGGAGACUGCCGGGGUCAACUCGGAGGAAGGUGGGGAUGACGUCAAAUCAUCAUGCCCCUUAUGUCUAGGGCUGCAAACAUGCUACAAUGGCCGGUACAAAGGGCUGCGAUACCGCGAGGUGGAGCGAAUCCCAAAAAGCCGGUCUCAGUUCGGAUUGGGGUCUGCAACUCGACCCCAUGAAGUUGGAGUCGCUAGUAAUCGCAGAUCAGCAACGCUGCGGUGAAUACGUUCCCGGGCCUUGUACACACCGCCCGU
RNAcentral lists this ribosomal RNA (497 nucleotides) under uncultured bacterium. RNAcentral's name for it is "partial 16S ribosomal RNA". It matches the Rfam family "Bacterial small subunit ribosomal RNA", at positions 899 to 1397 of the family's 1533-position model. The record is from RNAcentral.